UAGGCCAUAAAACACCUUCAGCUUCCUAAACAAGAAGACUUCAAACCAUAAGCAGGUUUUCUUGUGAUGCCUGCUGUACUUCUUGUGGUGUCUGUGGUACUUCUCGUGGUGUGUCUAACUUCAAAGCUCAGGCCCUUAUUUAUAGUUCCAAGACGAGACAACAAGUCUAAUUUUCCCGAUGUGGGACUAUGGGACUUGCCAAACUAACA
Molecule: long non-coding RNA, 209 nt
Filed under: Musa acuminata (dwarf banana)
Lineage: Eukaryota; Viridiplantae; Streptophyta; Magnoliopsida; Zingiberales; Musaceae
Description: long non-coding RNA (MACU_LNC002045)
Source: RNAcentral